This 57-nucleotide small RNA is filed under the name Sinorhizobium meliloti 2011. RNAcentral's name for it is "putative ncRNA". Lineage: Bacteria; Pseudomonadati; Pseudomonadota; Alphaproteobacteria; Hyphomicrobiales; Rhizobiaceae. The record is from RNAcentral.
CUGGUUCGGUCGCUCGCAGGCGAUGCGCGGUAUCGUCGCAUCGACCAGAGAGCAUCC